GAUGAACGCUGGCGGCGUGCCUAAUACAUGCAAGUCGAGCGAACAGACGAGGAGCUUGCUCCUCUGACGUUAGCGGCGGACGGGUGAGUAACACGUGGAUAACCUACCUAUAAGACUGGGAUAACUUCGGGAAACCGGAGCUAAUACCGGAUAAUAUAUUGAACCGCAUGGUUCAAUAGUGAAAGACGGUUUUGCUGUCACUUAUAGAUGGAUCCGCGCCGCAUUAGCUAGUUGGUAAGGUAACGGCUUACCAAGGCAACGAUGCGUAACCGACCUGAGAGGGUGAUCGGCCACACUGGAACUGAGCCACGGUCCAGACUCCUACGGGAGGCAGCAGUAGGGAAUCUUCCACAAUGGGCGAAAGCUUGACGGAGCAACGCCGCGUGAGUGAUGAAGGUCUUCGGAUCGUAAAACUCUGUUAUUAGGGAAGAACAAAUGUGUAAGUAACUAUGCACGUCUUGACGGUACCUAAUCAGAAAGCCACGGCUAACUACGUG
This 497-nucleotide ribosomal RNA is filed under the name uncultured bacterium. RNAcentral's name for it is "partial 16S ribosomal RNA". It matches the Rfam family "Bacterial small subunit ribosomal RNA", at positions 28 to 507 of the family's 1533-position model. The record is from RNAcentral.